GACGGAGGGGGCUAGCGUUGUUCGGAAUGACUGGGCGUAAAGGGUGCGUAGGCGGUUUUUUAAGUGAGGCGUGAAAGCCCUGGGCUUAACCCGGGAAUUGCGUUUCAGACUGGAAAGCUUGAGUACGAGAGAGGUAAGUGGAAUUCCUAGUGUAGAGGUGAAAUUCGUAGAUAUUAGGAAGAACACCAGUGGCGAAGGCGGCUUACUGGCUCGUAACUGACGCUGAGGCACGAAAGCGUGGGGAGCAAAC
Molecule: ribosomal RNA, 250 nt
Filed under: uncultured bacterium
Lineage: Bacteria
Description: partial 16S ribosomal RNA
Rfam family: Bacterial small subunit ribosomal RNA
Source: RNAcentral